RNAcentral lists this ribosomal RNA (485 nucleotides) under uncultured bacterium. RNAcentral's name for it is "bacterial SSU rRNA". It matches the Rfam family "Bacterial small subunit ribosomal RNA", at positions 30 to 501 of the family's 1533-position model. The record is from RNAcentral.
AUUGAACGCUGGCGGCAUGCCUUACACAUGCAAGUCGAACGGCAGCACGGGAGCUUGCUCCUGGUGGCGAGUGGCGAACGGGUGAGUAAUACAUCGGAACGUACCCUGAAGUGGGGGAUAACGUAGCGAAAGUUACGCUAAUACCGCAUAUUCUGUGAGCAGGAAAGAGGGGGAGUCGCAAGACCUCUUGCUUUAGGAGCGGCCGAUGUCGGAUUAGCUAGUUGGUGAGGUAAAGGCUCACCAAGGCGACGAUCCGUAGCGGGUCUGAGAGGAUGAUCCGCCACACUGGGACUGAGACACGGCCCAGACUCCUACGGGAGGCAGCAGUGGGGGAAUUUUGGACAAUGGGCGCAAGCCUGAUCCAGCCAUGCCGCGUGAGUGAAGAAGGCCUCGGUUGUAAGCUCUUUCGGUGGGGUAGGAAAGUUAGCACAGGAGUAAUACCUUAGUGUAGAUGACGGUACCGGAACUAAGAAGCACCGGCUAAC